RNAcentral lists this ribosomal RNA (591 nucleotides) under Bacillus sp. (in: firmicutes). Its description in RNAcentral is "bacterial SSU rRNA". It matches the Rfam family "Bacterial small subunit ribosomal RNA", at positions 115 to 692 of the family's 1533-position model. Lineage: Bacteria; Bacillati; Bacillota; Bacilli; Caryophanales; Bacillaceae. The record is from RNAcentral.
ACGUGGGCAACCUGCCUGUAAGACUGGGAUAACUCCGGGAAACCGGGGCUAAUACCGGAUAAUUCUUUCCCUCACAUGAGGGAAAGCUGAAAGAUGGUUUCGGCUAUCACUUACAGAUGGGCCCGCGGCGCAUUAGCUAGUUGGUGAGGUAACGGCUCACCAAGGCAACGAUGCGUAGCCGACCUGAGAGGGUGAUCGGCCACACUGGGACUGAGACACGGCCCAGACUCCUACGGGAGGCAGCAGUAGGGAAUCUUCCGCAAUGGACGAAAGUCUGACGGAGCAACGCCGCGUGAGUGAUGAAGGUUUUCGGAUCGUAAAACUCUGUUGUUAGGGAAGAACAAGUACCGGAGUAACUGCCGGUACCUUGACGGUACCUAACCAGAAAGCCACGGCUAACUACGUGCCAGCAGCCGCGGUAAUACGUAGGUGGCAAGCGUUGUCCGGAAUUAUUGGGCGUAAAGCGCGCGCAGGCGGUUCCUUAAGUCUGAUGUGAAAGCCCCCGGCUCAACCGGGGAGGGUCAUUGGAAACUGGGGAACUUGAGUGCAGAAGAGAAGAGUGGAAUUCCACGUGUAGCGGUGAAAUGCGUA